UAACUUGCCCUUGGGUCCGGGAUAACCCCUGAGAAAYUGGGGACAAUACCGGAUAGGGCAUCGAUAGCUGGAAUGCRCGAUGUYCAAAAGCUGAGGCGCCCAAGGAUAGGUCUGCGGCCGAUUAGGUUGUUGUUGAUGUAAYGGAUCAACAAGCCUGCAAUCGGUACGGGUUGUGAGAGCAAKAGCCCGGAGAUGGGUUCUGAGAAAAGAACCCAGGUCCUACGGGACGCAUCAGGCGCGAAAACUUUACAAUGUGCGAAAGCACGAUAAGGGAACUCUGAGUGCCUCCUAUGGAGGCUGUUCAGGUGUCUAAAAAGCAYUUGAAGUAAGGGCUGGGUAAGACCGGUGCCAGCCGCCGCGGUAACACCGGCAGCCCAAGUGGUAGCCACGAUUAUUGGGUCUAAAGCGUCCGUAGCCGGCCARGUAAGUUCUUUGGGAAAUUUAACCGCUCAACGGUUAAGCUUUCAGGGAAUACUGCUUGGCUUGGGACCGGGAGAGGUCAGAGGUACUUCAAGGGUAGGGGUGAAAUCCGUUAAUCCUUGAGGGACCACCAGUAGCGAAGGCGUCUGACCAGACCGGGUCCGACGGUGAGGGACGAAGGCUAGGGUCGCGAACCGGAUUAGAUACCCGGGUAGUCCUAGCUGUAAACGAUGCGGGCCAGGUGUUGGCAUUACUGCGAGUGAUGUCAGUGCCGAAGGGAAGCCGUUAAGCCCGCCAUCUGGGGAGUACGGUCGCAAGGCUGAAACUUAA
This 750-nucleotide ribosomal RNA is filed under the name uncultured methane-oxidizing archaeon. RNAcentral describes it as "bacterial SSU rRNA". It matches the Rfam family "Archaeal small subunit ribosomal RNA", at positions 105 to 859 of the family's 1478-position model. The record is from RNAcentral.